UCCGCAUUCCGCAGAUUUGGUCCAUCACUAUACAUCUGGCCCAAAACAAAACUUCCAUUACAUAUUUAAGAUUACACAAUCCAACUCUUGCCCCACAAGUCCAGGGUCGAUCGUCUUACAACAUUACUAUCAGGUCUAUCUUGAUUACAUAUUUGCAAGUCCGAUUACAGACCAUUAUAAUAACUAUAGUUGUACUACCAAACAACGUAGUCUAGCAGCCUCAGCUUGUGUGAUGAGCCUUUUCCUUGCCUAUGCCAAAACCCGUUUCCGGGCAAAUCUCUUGGGUUGUGCCAAUCUCACUGCUCAAAAGAAUAUAAAGUAGAUACAAGAAUGAGCAAUCAAAUUGCUCAGCAAGUCAACAUAUCACAGAAUAACAAAUAACAAGAUAUGCAAAUAAGCCAUCGAAAGCAUAUCAAAUCAAAGCAACAAAACAGUUAUCAUCAAACGACAAAACAAUGUCAAGUAAAGGAACUGCUGGUCUUCCACCUCUCGGUAACACUACAUGGCUCGAUCAACACCAUUUCGUGAAUACCGUUCUCCUGUGUAGUCCUAGUGGUCUGAUCGUAACCACUGAAGACACACCAACACUCUCUUUGCUAGCAUCAGGGUUUAACACUGGAACCCCACUAUCUGCCUUACCAGAUAGUAAAUUUCAACUCUACCACGAAUUUAAUAAAUUCGUGUUGACCAGCUUGAACCGAUUCCUCCGAAUACAAGGAAAUUUUCCCAAACAAACACUUCUCAAUCAUCACUGCUAAUUUUUAUCAAAAAAGUGCGAACAAUGCACCCUUUCGUCAUUACAAAGAUUACCCGAAGGUAGAAGUGAAAGAUAAUUAAAAUAAUUAGAUUCCAAAAGAUAAGAUGAUCUCCAAAAAGAGUAAAUUGAGAUCAUCGCUGCCAAGUAUUCACAUCAAGCUUCGAAGAUUCAAAAUAUUAUCGUUAUAGGAUCAACUCAUUCCCGAACAAUGGGAGAGCUCGAAUUAUAUAAAAUAAUAUGUGAGCAAUAUCUUUAAAGCCUUCAAAAUGAAGCAGAGAUAUUUUCUCGAUUCACAAUGAUACGAAAUGUAAUAUUUUCACAAUCAACACUUUUCACAAAAUAUGAAAUAGGCACGAAAAACUUCACAUCAAGACAGGGAUAGUGAACUUGCCUGUCGUCCUUAGCUUGAUAAUAUUCUUGUAAUUAUCACGUAUAAUCGGUUUCAUCCUUCCGAAUAUUCAAUUUCUAAUUCACGUAAAAUAAUACUUUAAUAUCUCAUCAAAGAAAACAAAAAUGCCAAAAUAAUCUAUAUUAUGAAUCCGACAAAUAAUAUUAAGAAUUUGAUAGGAUAUCUAUCUCAUUUUCUUUUACACUGUAAACUAACAUAUUGUAUGUGUACAUGUAGUAGAUACACUUAUUUAAGUCCAGAGCCUAACUUUCUUUUAUCAACUACUAAAUAAAUCGUUUAUAUAGUCCAUAUUUGAUUAUUUAUUAAUGCUAUCUCUAUUUAAUUUUUAAACAAUUAUUCCACUUAUAUUUCGUUCCCCACAUUCCAUUUCUACUAAUCCAAGAAAUUUGUGGUUCAUCAUCACUUAUUCAUAUUUACUAAAUAAACAUCUAUCUGUCUAUUUAACAUCAAAAUCCUACACUCUCUAAUUAAUUCUACGUAUUCCUUUACCAACACUUAUUCACCAACCCAUUUAAUAAAUCGAUAAAUUAAAUAUAAAAAUCAUCUCCGCAUCCCCAAUUUAUUACCUCACAAUUAUUUUUAAUAAAUUCAUUUUAUAUUCUUAACUCAAAAUUAUUAUUAUUAUCAUUAUUCUCUCUCACAAAAUUUUAAUAUAUACCACCCCUCUCCCUUCUUCCUUUCCAUUGCCUCACACCUCCUCCUUUAACAACCUAUUCUGCUUAAUCAAUCAGCACAACCAAAACAGUUAAGUUAUUUAACCAAACUCAAAAUUCUUAAAUAGAAGACAUAAAACUCGUGUAUUAAUUAUUUUCAUGGCUCCUAUUUAAAUAGCUUUUAUUGAAUAAAAGAUGGGCUAUAAAUAUUCAAUAUUACCAUUAAUCAAAGAUAGAAAGAGAAUAUACCUUGAUGAUGGAUUCUGAUUCUUCUUUACUGUCUUGAGUUUUACUUGCUUUGGUACCUCCUGAAUUUGCCAAACUAAAACUAAACAACGUGUUUGGUAUUUAUACUAAUCAUAAAUCAUGGUUAAGAUUUAAUUUACCUUGGUUAACAAUUACUUGGGCACUACUCUUUGGUUUUUAAGUACCUGGUUUUGAUAAACCAAUGUGCCACAAACCACCCCAUUAGUCGGUUAGCUAGUUUUGUUAAAAUAUUUUUUUUUUAUUUAUUUAUAUAUUCUUUUUAUUUGCCCGUAUAUUAAAUGUUUCGCAACUGGAAAUAUUUUAGCCCCGGGUCAUUUAACAACUUCCUAUUUAAAUAUUUUAAUAAAAAAUAUCAUUCGGGAUUAUACUAAAUAAUUAAUUAAAUAAUUAUUCUAGUAUUUCUCUAAAUAUUUCAAAAUUUAAUAGUUAUAACGAAAUAUUUCUUUUAGCUAAACCCGUAAAAUUUAUAAUAUUCCCGGGCCAUAACAAAAUUAUACAUCUACCAAUUUAUUUACGUGGCCAACAUUUAGAUCCUAAUGGUACGAAAAUGGAUUUAAUUUGCUAGCCGAUAUAAACAAACCUCGUACUAGCCUGAAAUGUUUUACGUACCAAUAUUUUUAUUAAAUAAUAAUUUCACAAUUAUUUAAAUGAUAGCUUUAACCGCAUAAAAUUAAAUAAUUAAUUUGUUUACGUACUUGAAAUUUUACGGUUGUUACAUUCUUCCCUCGUUUAAAGGAUUCCGACCUCGGAAUCAGAUUUGAUGCUGAAACAACUCGGGAUACUUCUCUUUCAUUACUUCUUCCAGUUCCCACGUGGCUUCUUCUACAGUUUGAUUUCCCCAAAUUACUUUAAACAUUUUCACUUUCUUAUUUCUUAAUUCCUGAAACUUAGACUCCACAAUUUCCAAAGGCUUUUUUUUUUCAUAUGUUAAAUCAGACUGAAGGUUAAUCGGCUCCUAAUUUAGAACAUGCUGAAUAUCAGUCUUGUAAGCUUUCAAAAGAGAUACAUGAAAUACAUCAUGAAUAUGUUGUAGAUCUGGAGGUAAAGCUAAUUGAUAAGACACGACUCCAACUUUUCUUAGAAUCUCGAAGGUUUCGAUUUAUCUUGGAUUCAAUUUUCUUUUCUUUCCAAACCUGAUUAUUCCUUUCCAAGAUGAUACUUUCAAAAGUAUUUUUCCCCAACUUCAAAUGUCAUUUCUUUUCUUCCUAAGUCUGCAUAUUUCUUUUGCCUGUCUUGAGCUUCAACUAACCUUUUGUGUAUCUUCUCGAUCAAUUGUGUAGUUUGCUGAACAAGUUCCGGUCUUAAUAACUUUUUCUCUCCCACUUCCUCCCAAACAAGAGGCGAUCUACAUUUUCUACCAUAUAAUGUCCAUAAGGCGCCAUUCCAAUAUUAGCAUGGUAGCUGUUAUUGUAUGCAAACUCCACCAAAGGCAAGUGAUCAUCCCAACUUCCUUUAAAAUCUAAUGAACAAUUAAUAACUUUUUCUCUCCCACUUCCUCCCAAACAAGAGACGAUCUACAUUUUCUACCAUAUAAUGUUCCAUAAGGCGCCAUUCCAAUACUAGCAUGGUAGCUGUUAUUGUAUGCAAACUCCACCAAAGGCAAGUGAUCAUCCCAACUUCCUUUAAAAUCUAAUGAACAAGCUCUUAACAUAUCCUCUAUAGUUUGUAUUGUUCUUUUACUUUGCCCAGCUGUUUGUGGGUGAUAUGCAGUUCUCAAAUUAAGCUUAGUCCCAAAACACUCUUGAAAAGCUUGCCAGAAUCUUGAAGAAAAUCUUGCAUCUCUGCUUGAAACAAUUGACACUGACACUCCAUGUCUGGUCACGACCUCAUUCAUAUAUAGCUUUACUAAUCUCUUCAUGGUGUACUUUUCACUAAUAGGAAGAAAAUAUGCUAAUUUCGUCAACCUAUCUACAAUUACCCAAAUAGCAUCAUGAUUAGCUCGAGUCUUUGGCAAUCUAACUAUAAAGUCCAUGGUGAUGUGUUCCCAUUUCCAUUCUGGAAUCUCUAAUGGCCGCAAUAAUCCGUUAGGUCUUUGGUGCUCUGCUUUCACUUUUUGACAAGUCAGACAUUUACUCACCCACUCAGCUAUUUCUCUUUUCAUGUUAGGGGACUAAUAGUUUCUCUUAAAUUAUUGGUACGUCUUAGUACUUUCCUGGUGUAUUGAAUAUCUCGAUUCAUGAGCUUUACUAAAAAAUAUCUCUUUUAAGAUCAAACAGGUUAGGAAUCCAAAUUCUUUUAGCAAAUCUCAUAAUUCCUUUCUCAUAUUUCACUUAAAUUCUCAUCGUUAGUAAAUUCAAAAUGUCUUUCUUUAAUUAUCAACUCUUGAAUUUGUUUUAUUAUUUUCAAGUAUCUCUGGCUGCACUUAUAUCUCAAAAAUCCUUCCAUCCUUAUGCUCUGAAUCCUUAAUCUUCAAUCCUAGAUUUUCCAUAUUCUUAAUCAAUUUCUUUAAUCAAGACAUCACAUUAAUUCUCUCCUUUCUACUUGACGCGUCAUCAACUACCUUAGCCUUCCCUGGGUGAUAGUUAAUUGUACAAUCAUAGUCUUUUAUCAAUUAUAACCAUCUACUUUGUCUCAUAUUCAAUUCUUUCAGAGCAAACCGUAUUUUUAAGUUCUUACGAUCCGUAAAUAUCUCACACUUCUCACCAUACAAGGAAUGUCGCCAAAUCUUUAAAGAAAACAUUAUAGCAGCUAACUCUAGGUCAUGUGGGGUAUCUCAGCUCGUGAGCCUUAAGUUCCCUAGAAGCAUAUGCUAUCAUCUCUCCAUGUAUGUAUAAGAACACAUCUAAGUCCUUGAUGAGAUGCAUCGCUAUAAACCCACAAAAUAUCAUGUCUCAUUAUGUAAGGUUAAUACAAGGGCCAUUGUAAGCCGCUUCUUUAAUUCUUGAAAACUUUCCUCGUACUCAGGUAUCCACUCAAAAUUCUCUUCGUUUCUAGUCAACUUAGUCAAAGAAGUCUCAAUCUUAAAGAAAUCUUUCAAAAAUAUUUUAUAAUAUCCUGCUAAAUCAAGAAAACUUCUCACUUUGGUUGGGGUUCUUAGUCUUUUCCAAUUUGAUAAUGCCUCAAUCUUCGCGGGUAUACCAAUAUUCCUUUCUUAAAAACUAUAUGCCCUUAAAAACUAUACUUGCUUUAUCAAAAUUCUCAUUUUGAAAAUUUUGCAGAUAACUUUUCUUUCCUCAAAAUUUUCUAAGUUACUCUAAGAUGCUCAACAUGUUUUUCUUUCGUCUGAGAAUAUAUUAUAUAUCAUCAAUAAAACAAUAACGAACUUAUCCAAAUAUUUCUUCAAUACUCUAUUCAUAAGAUCCAUAAUUGUUAUAGGUGCAUUAGUCAAUCCGAAAGGCAUCUCUUAAGAACUCACAAUGUUCAUGUCGGGGCCUAAAGACCGUCUUAGGUACAUUCUCAGACCCGAUUCUGUAACUGAUGAUAUCCAGAUCUCGUGUCUAUCUUAAAAAAAUAAGAUGCUUUCCUCAACAACUAAAACAAUCAUCAACCCUAGGCAAGGGUCAUCUUGUUAAAUCUCAAUAAUCGAUGUAACAACCCUCAAAUCCGGGGGUCUGGAUUUGACACCUCCAUACAACACCUUUACAAAACAACUUAGGAAAAAUUGCGUUUUUGAAAAGAACAAAAUCAAACAAUUUGAUAUCUGAGCAUUUCGAGAAGAAUUUAAAGGAAAUCGGAAUUUUUUUAAAACUCUCUUGGACAUAUAGAAGUCUUUCACAAUGGUAUCACUGAUCACUGAGUUUUCAAAGUAGCUCUCAUUUGAAAUAAAAGGAUGAUUGGGAGCCCAAUACGAUCAAAUGAACUAAGUGUUGCGUGUCCAAAUUAAGACACUACUAAAGGUUGUUAACCUUCUUGUAAUUACAACACACACACAAGUGAUGGCGUCCCAUCCAACUCCUAUCACACAGAUAGGUAUACCUUGUGUCCCCUAUAAUUAGGGUUGUUCAUCCCAAUCAGAUUGAAGAAAUAUCAAGGAAUAUUUAUUUCAAAGAUUUGCUUUUGAAUCGUUAUUUCACAAUUUGGGCAACCUUGAUCUACCAUAAUUAUUUCUCAACACACUUCUUCCAAGGAAUGCGAGCAAUGCAUCCUUUAAUCACAAUUCAAGGAUUUUCAGUGGAUAAAAUAAGAAAUAGGAUCAAAUAUGAGACGAUCUCUUAGAAUUAUUAUAUUGAGAUCAUCAUUGUGGUGUAUAUUUAUUCCAAUUCUCGACUAUUAAAUCAUGAAUCACAAAAGAUAAGACGAUCUCUUAGAAUUAUUAUAUUAAGAUCAUCAUUGUGGUGUAUAUUUAUUCCAAUUCUCGACUAUUAAAUCAUGAAUCACAAAAGAUUUUGUAACAUCAAAGAAAUAUUGAUUAUUAGGAGUAGUCGCUUCCGAACAAAGAAAGGACUCAAGAUACAUCAUAAACUUCUCAGUUUUCAAAAUGAGAAAUGAUGUCAACUUGAGCAGAAACAGUGUGAAAUGUAAUAUUAUUCAUAAAUAGCGUAUUCCACAGAUCCGUACUCAAGCAACGAGAGUCUUCCUUAUAACACAUUUGCGGUUUGCGAAAUUCUACAUCUUUGAUUUGCUUCUACUUUACCUAUAUCCUUCACUCGCGACAUCUCUUACAAAAGGUUUCUUCACAACAUAAGUCCAAGGUUUCUUUCCAUCAUUUUGAUUAUUUUGCGUGGGUUUCCGCCUUCGACUAACUUACUUUUUGGUUAAACAACUCACUAAUACAAGCUUUGUGCACUAAUGUCGCAUAACUAGAAAUCUCGAGAACAACAACUCUAUUCUAAAUCCAGGGGUUUAAGCCCGGCUGAAAAACGUCUAGUUUUUCAGUUUUUUUUUUUUUUUUUUCGGUAUAUACUUGAUGCGGAAUAAAUUUCGAAAGUUCGAUAAACUUAGCUUCGUACUCAGCUAUUGACAUAUUCUCUUGCUUGAGCUUUAGCAAUUUGAGCUCCAUUUGAUUCUCUAGGUGUUUAGGUAAAUACUUUUCUAGGAAUAACUUUGUAAACCUGGUCCAUGACAUCACGCUAGAAUCUUCUAGGACUUGCUUAACUUCCCACCAAUAAUUAGACUCUUCAUAAACAUCAAAAUUAAUUUUCUUAUCAUCUUCUAUACCAACUAUUUCAAAAUCUUAGCCAUAUCUUGGCUUCAACAGGAUCAACAUCCCCUUUUAAACUCUUGUGGUGGCAAAAAUUUGAAAGAUUUGAAUGAAAAGGUAGGUUUUGACUCGAAGAAUUUCUUUCGGGAUUGUUUUGAAAAUUUUAGGUAUGUUGUUGAAGAAAAUCAACAAGUAAUUGAACAGGAUUGGGUCUGGGUUGAAAUCCAGGUGAAGCAUCUAGUAUUGAUUCAUAAAAAGAGUUGUCAUUCAGGUUCGAAUUCAAAUAUAUAAAAGUGAACAAAAUAGGUUUCAUCAUUAUACAAAAUUACAAGAUUUAUUUAAAGGUACAACAAUGUGCAAUUUUGAAAAAUUCACAGUAUAUAAUUUUUGAAAACAGGUUCCACAUUUUGGUUGAAAAUACAAGUUGUACCAAAGUUGCAUAUUUUUGAAAACUUUUAGAAACUUUAAAGGUUGUACCUUUUCUUUUGAAAACUCUAAAACUUUAGAAACUUGAACGUUUCUCUUUUUUUUUUUUUUUUUUUUUUGAAAACCUCGAAAAAGAAAAAAAAAACUUUAAAAGGUUGAGUAAAUAUAAUCAUAAAAAUUUCACAUUGGAUCAUUGAGGUAGCAGAUGCAAGAUAGGUUGACAGGAGUGAAACAGGUUAAAAGUAGUUGACAAGUGCAAGAAGCAUAGGGAAAGUAUAGACAAAGAAAGAGACACCAAUAUGACAACAAGAUUGAUCAUUCUUCCCAAAGUGGUCAUAAUAUCUGAAGCUUUUAGAGUACAAGUCAUGAUAUAGAAGUAUAUCUGAUCUGGUCAUCACCCUACUAUAUCAAAUUUAAUCUGGACACCACUAUACAAAAGAUCACUUUAUAUAAAUCUCUACUACCAAAAUGAUCUACUGAUCGAAACUGUAGCAUCUGUUUCUCAAUAAAAGGAAGUGAACAAUUCUCCAUCCCGAUACUAUACAAAAGUAUCUACAUAUCCUCUAUAAUAUACCAUAAUUGAGAUACACACGGACUACAUGUGUUCUUUCCCAAAAGUCAAAUUAUAC
This 8221-nucleotide long non-coding RNA is filed under the name Daucus carota (carrot). RNAcentral describes it as "long non-coding RNA (DCAR_LNC006368)". Lineage: Eukaryota; Viridiplantae; Streptophyta; Magnoliopsida; Apiales; Apiaceae. The record is from RNAcentral.